Non-coding RNA from Oryctolagus cuniculus (rabbit), 936 nucleotides. The record is from RefSeq and is a predicted model, not a curated record. Lineage: Eukaryota; Metazoa; Chordata; Mammalia; Lagomorpha; Leporidae.
CAGUCAUGAGAGCACAAAAAAGAUGGACCAGAGAGAUGCAUAUCAAGGACAAAGAUGCCGGAGAGGAAGAUUGAAGCUACUUGCUUCAGGAAUGCCUUUCCCACCUCUACCCACAUGGCCUCUAUGGAGACAAAUCUCUUCAGUCCUCCCUACAUGAAACCCAGCAUGAUUACAGAAUCCUAGGCAGAGCAGUGAGACAAGAAGUCAAGGAAUUAGAACUCAAAAGGAAAAAGGAGACAGAAACCUUUGAAGAGGAGAGAGAAAUGGAAAGUGUAUGCAAUGCGUGUGAGCACUGGUGUCAAGUUGAAGUGCAAGGCGGGUGAGGAGCAAUGAAGGCUGAGUCAUUACGAGGUGGGUAGCAUGGAGGUGAGAGGUGUAACGUCCAGCGAUGGGCGGGGGAGUGUGGUGAGGCUUUUGGAGGACUAGUCUACAGCUAUCGGUGUUCAAGGUGAGGAAAAGUACUGUGCAUCACUACGCUCCGACCAACAGGGAUUUUCUCAGUCCCACACCAACCAGGAGAAUGCUUAUCGCCCUCCAUUUGAAGGUAGCAGUGAGCAGGGAGGACAUAAUGUCUGUGCUCAGGACUGCUUGGAGAGCUUAUUCUCCUUCCCUCAAAGAGAGACUGGUGCUCCAAUCUGAGGAGGAAGAGCCAGACUUUCAGCUUCAAAGGUUGGUUCAUGCACUGGGGAAAAUUUGGUAACUGAGGAUUUCCAAGACAUCCAGAGACCUAUACUCCAGUUGCACACAGUGUCCUGGGCUGGAGAUUACCAUAGGAUGCAGAGAAACCUGGUAUCAAGACCCACAGCCUUGAGGAGGUGGGGCAAGAUCUCUGUGUUGGCCUUGUGGUCAGGGGCAGGAGACAAGACUCUACUAGAAAAAGAUGGCCAGGAGUUCAGACACAGCAGCCUUCUCUGGAGUAGGAGAUGCAGAUAACAA